Molecule: ribosomal RNA, 236 nt
Filed under: uncultured bacterium
Lineage: Bacteria
Description: partial 16S ribosomal RNA
Rfam family: Bacterial small subunit ribosomal RNA
Source: RNAcentral
CGAACGGGUGAGUAACGCGUGAAUAACCUGACUCAAAGAGGGGGAGUAACAACGGGAAACUGUUGCUAAUACCGCAUGAGACCACAACACCGCAUGAUGAAGGGGUCAAAGAUUUAUCGCUUUGAGAGGGGUUCGCGUCCCAUUAGGUAGUUGGAGGGGUAACGGCCCACCAAGCCAACGAUGGGUAGCCGAGCUGAGAGGCUGAUCGGCCACACUGGAACUGGGACACGGUCCAG